Phoenix dactylifera (date palm) is the source of this 2037-nucleotide non-coding RNA. The record is from RefSeq and is a predicted model, not a curated record. NCBI's taxonomy places the organism in Eukaryota, Viridiplantae, Streptophyta, Magnoliopsida, Arecales, Arecaceae.
AUCCUCAUGCAAUUCACAGCGCCCUCUCUGCUGCCAAUCCACAAAAAAACUAGUCACAGACUAAAAGGGCCACCGAAUUCUUUCCCAGUCUGAGAGACCAAAUGCUAGAACUCUCGUGCAUCUAUUUACUAUCAUAAUUCAGAACCGACCCAAAAUAAGAAGGCAUCAUGGUGUUACCAAAUAAAGCUGGAACAUUAAUUAAGUAUUCCCUCAUCCCUCUUCUCCCAAAAGAAAACUUCCUCUCUCGCACGCCUUUAUCUUGUGCUCCAACGACGAGGAUUGCCAAUGGAGUCCCUCGUUCCCUCUCUCGUCAACCGUAAGUGGUUCCUCUGCUCUUUGGCUAGCUUCUUCGGCCUCCUCUUCGUCUCCUUCAGCCUUAACAAAGCUUCCCGUCCGGGCCCGGCGCUCGCAUCCUUUCGCGACUCGGAGACGAGCCUCAACGCAACGUUGCUGGAGUCCGGCGAGCUGCUCUCUUCCCAAUCCUUGCAGAGUAGCGGUCCAAUUCGUAGCACACAAAACAUAGAGUUCUCUCCACAACCUGGAGUGGUAGAUAUUGUUCAACCCCCAGCAACCAGCACAGCCUUGUCUCCGUUAUCCGGAUAUAUUUACUUGUCUCCACCUAUAGCGUUGGUGUCACCACCAAAAUCUAGUGGAGCUCCAGUAGUCUCCUCAGAAUCUAAUGGAACAAAUCUGGUCUCCUCUCAAAGCAAGACGGAGAUGCCUCGGUACAAGGAAAAUACAACGUUGUUGCUAUCGGUGGGUGGUGGUGCUGAGAAGGAAAAGCCGAAGAAAGAGAAGAAGAAGUGUGAUAUCUUCGACGGCAACUGGGUUUAUGACCGGAAAGGCUAUCCGCUCUACCGAGCGCAUUGGUGUCCGUUCCUUAGCGAUCAGGUGACUUGCCAGAAGAAUGGAAGACCAGACAAAGACUACGAGCAUUGGAGGUGGCAACCCAAAGGCUGCGAACUUCCUAGGUAUAAUGGGAAGGAAAUGCUAGAGAGGUGGAGGGGGAAAAGAGUGGUGAUCAUCGGCGACUCUCUUAACAGGAACAUGUGGGAAUCACUCGCCUGUAUCCUCUACUCUUCGGGGAGCCGAUCAAGGGCCUAUGUCAAAUCGAACAUUCCACAAUAUAAGAUCUUCCGAGCCUUAGACUUUGAUUGCACGGUGGAGUUCUACUGGAACCCGUUCCUUGUAGAGCUGGAGGAAAGGAGGGACAACACGAAGGUGCUCAAGCUUGACAAGCUUCCGGGGUCAUCCAAGCGUUGGAGAGGUGCGGAUGUCCUGGUUUUCAACACUGGUCACUGGUGGACUCACCAUGGAAAAAUAAAAGCGUGGGACUAUUUCGAGUGCGGGGGCCAAUUGGUAGAAGAGAUGGGAGUAAUUGAAGCGUUUAAUAAGGCUCUGGGGACGUGGGCUCGCUGGGCUGACCGACAUGUGGACUCCACCAAGACUACUGUCUUUUUCCGGGGCAUCUCUCCUGAGCACAAGAGCAUCAAAUAAAGCACAUCCGGUGGGUCUCAUCCUUUUUGAAGCCAGCCUUGCUCACUUUCUUAGUAGUUGAGCCAGUGUCAGGGUUCAGAUGGAUGGAACUCUAGAGUGAAGAGAAUUGCCUAACCAGGCACCUGCUUGAUGGCUUACCACUAUCAACCAAGAUUCAAUAUAUCAGUGCCAUACUAGCAUCGUAUCAGUACAGUAUGGGAGAACUGGUGCCACAAUCAGACGACACCAAUGACCACUGAGACCUACGUGCAGCGGUUUCCAGGAAAAAUGAUAUCUUUGGUGGAGAGGACAGUGGAGAAGAUGAGAACGCCGGUUCGAUAUCUGAACAUCACACGGCUAUCAGAGUACCGGAGAGAUGCACACACAGCAGUGUACACCUCAAGGCAGGGGAAACUCCUGACUGCAGAGCAGCGAAAGCAACCUGAAAGAUAUGCCGACUGCAGCCAUUGGUGCCUUCCAGGACUACCUGAUACUUGGAACAUGCUUCUGUUUGCCUCCCUCUUUGGAAACCCAUCCGCUGUAUCAUAGAUCUUCUUCCAC